Molecule: long non-coding RNA, 231 nt
Filed under: Elaeis guineensis (African oil palm)
Lineage: Eukaryota; Viridiplantae; Streptophyta; Magnoliopsida; Arecales; Arecaceae
Description: long non-coding RNA (EGUI_LNC067705)
Source: RNAcentral
CACCUUGUCUUCUUCCUUCUUGAGAAAGUCUUAGAGAUUGAACGAGAUCCUUUUCAACCAUUAAGAAAGUAUUCUUUGUAAGAAAGCUAGCACCUUGGAGAGAACAUAGAGCCUCUGAUCAGUUCAUGCCUCAUGUGGAUACCCAUAGAGGUUGGACACGUGCACGGCUAUAUCAGAACCUGAAGGCAUCUACAAAUCCAGAUUUAAGAAGAAGUUCUGUGAUUUAGAUAU